Molecule: long non-coding RNA, 716 nt
Organism: Cavia porcellus (domestic guinea pig)
Lineage: Eukaryota; Metazoa; Chordata; Mammalia; Rodentia; Caviidae
Source: Ensembl
UGAGUAUUCCUGCAUGUUGUCAUCCAAAGGUUUGAUGGCCUGCAAAGGACACUAUGAACCCUACUCUAGAGUUUUAGGUCUCUAGUCGUCUCUUGAGAAGACUGCAGUUUUUUAAAAAAAAUAUUAAAAAGCAAGAAAGUGGGCUUCUUACUCAGAAGAAGAAAAUCCACAGAUGAUAUUCAUUGAACUAAGUGUCACCUUUCCAUAAACAGACUUCGAUCCAUGCUUUCUACAUUGGCUCUUGAUUGUUUCUUAUGAAAUCAUCAUCAUCGUAAUGAACUAGGAAGGGUUGUCUUUUCUUCUCCAUCAUCAUUUUUAACCCUUGCAUAUACACCAUCCAGGAGUAAACUGUCUGCUUGUUGGAGUGAAUUUGAGGAAAUCAUUGGUGGUUCUGGCAUUGUGUUGGCAGCACAGCAUAAUCUUAUGUGUCAAGCUAAUGAACGUCGGAAUGAAUUGAUCAAACAGCUGUUUACAAUGAAGUAAAUGGCAAACUGUCAGGUGCUGAAUAUCGUGUUCCAAUGAGGGUAGAGCUGACUAAUACAAAAGCAUCAUCAAAAUAGAAGUAUCCAAGAGUGUUCAUAAAGAAAUGUGAUUUGAGCUGUCAUUGGUAUCAGGUAAUUUUACUUGGAAAUGCAGAAAAGGGUAGGAUUAUUAUUUCAAGCAGUGAUGCAGCAGAAAUGAAAGUUGAAGUAACAACUUGUUUUGGUACUAUGGAG